AGUGAACGCUGGCGGUAGGCCUAACACAUGCAAGUCGAACGGCAGCACAGUAAGAGCUUGCUCUUACGGGUGGCGAGUGGCGGACGAGUGAGGAAUACAUCGGAAUCUACUUUUUCGUGGGGGAUAACGUAGGGAAACUUACGCUAAUACCGCAUACGACCUACGGGUGAAAUCAGGGGAUCUUCGGACCUUGCGCGAUUGAAUGCGCCGAUGUCGGAUUAGCUAGUUGGCGGGGUAAAGGCCCACCAAGGCGACGAUCCGUAGCUGGUCUGAGAGGAUGAUCAGCCACACUGGAACUGAGACACGGUCCAGACUCCUACGGGAGGCAGCAGUGGGGAAGAUUGGACAAUGGGCGCAAGCCUGAUCCAGCCAUACCGCGUGGGUGAAGAAGGCCUUCGGUUUGUAAAGCCCUUUUGUUGGGAAAGAAAAGCAGCAGGUUAAUACCCCGCUGUUCUGACGGUACCCAAAGAAUAAGCACCGGCUAACUUCGUG
This 492-nucleotide ribosomal RNA is filed under the name uncultured bacterium. Its description in RNAcentral is "partial 16S ribosomal RNA". It matches the Rfam family "Bacterial small subunit ribosomal RNA", at positions 29 to 507 of the family's 1533-position model. The record is from RNAcentral.